Molecule: ribosomal RNA, 1420 nt
Filed under: Synechococcus sp. WKJ5
Lineage: Bacteria; Bacillati; Cyanobacteriota; Cyanophyceae; Synechococcales; Synechococcaceae
Description: bacterial SSU rRNA
Source: RNAcentral
GCUCAGGAUGAACGCUGGCGGCGUGCUUAACACAUGCAAGUCGAACGAACCUUCGGGUUAGUGGCGGACGGGUGAGUAACGCGUGAGAAUCUGCCCUCAGGAGGGGGAUAACGGCUGGAAACGGCCGCUAAUACCCCAUAUGCCGAGAGGUGAAAUGAAUUUCGCCUGAGGAUGAGCUCGCGUCUGAUUAGCUAGUUGGUGGGGUAAGRGCCCACCAAGGCUUCGAUCAGUAGCUGGUCUGAGAGGAUGAUCAGCCACACUGGGACUGAGACACGGCCCAGACUCCUACGGGAGGCAGCAGUGGGGAAUUUUCCGCAAUGGGCGCAAGCCUGACGGAGCAACGCCGCGUGAGGGAUGAAGGCCUCUGGGCUGUAAACCUCUUUUAUCAAGGAAGAAGAUCUGACGGUACUUGAUGAAUAAGCCACGGCUAAUUCCGUGCCAGCAGCCGCGGUAAUACGGGAGUGGCAAGCGUUAUCCGGAAUUAUUGGGCGUAAAGCGUCCGCAGGCGGUYUUGUAAGUCUGUCGUUAAAGCGUGGAGCUUAACUCCAUUUCGGCGAUGGAAACUACAAGACUAGAGUGUGGUAGGGGCAGAGGGAAUUCCCGGUGUAGCGGUGAAAUGCGUAGAUAUCGGGAAGAACACCAGUGGCGAAGGCGCUCUGCUGGGCCAUAACUGACGCUCAUGGACGAAAGCCAGGGGAGCGAAAGGGAUUAGAUACCCCUGUAGUCCUGGCCGUAAACGAUGAACACUAGGUGUCGGGGGAAUCGACCCCCUCGGUGUCGUAGCCAACGCGUUAAGUGUUCCGCCUGGGGAGUACGCACGCAAGUGUGAAACUCAAAGGAAUUGACGGGGGCCCGCACAAGCGGUGGAGUAUGUGGUUUAAUUCGAUGCAACGCGAAGAACCUUACCAGGGUUUGACAUCCUGCGAAUCCCUUGGAAACGAGGGAGUGCCUUCGGGAGCGCAGAGACAGGUGGUGCAUGGCUGUCGUCAGCUCGUGUCGUGAGAUGUUGGGUUAAGUCCCGCAACGAGCGCAACCCACGUCUUUAGUUGCCAGCAUUUAGUUGGGCACUCUAGAGAGACCGCCGGUGAUAAACCGGAGGAAGGUGUGGAUGACGUCAAGUCAUCAUGCCCCUUACAUCCUGGGCUACACACGUACUACAAUGCUACGGACAAAGGGCAGCAAACUCGCGAGAGCUAGCAAAUCCCAUAAACCGUGGCUCAGUUCAGAUCGUAGGCUGCAACUCGCCUACGUGAAGGCGGAAUCGCUAGUAAUCGCAGGUCAGCAUACUGCGGUGAAUACGUUCCCGGGCCUUGUACACACCGCCCGUCACACCAUGGAAGUUGGCCACGCCCGAAGUCGUUACUCCAACCCUUGUGGAGGAGGACGCCGAAGGUGGGGCUGAUGACUGGGGUGAAGUCGU